GAGUGCCACUUGUACGUCCGCAGAGCGGGCGGCGAUAGCAAGCUGAAGGAAUACGAAUCCAUCCAAAGCAGAUCCAGUGCAGCCUCAGGGGCGCGAGGCAGGUAGCACGUCGCCGCCCCCGCAGGCGAACCUCUCCCGCGCUGCCACCAGCAGCAGCAGAGCAUCAUCAUCGUCAUCAUUUAUUAUAGAGAGGGCGGGGCGCGCGCGCGAGCGAGCGAGUUCGUUCCCGUGGUGAAGAAACGAUCGACCGGCAGUCGGGACGCGGUGCCGUGGGCCGGCUGUCCCUCCCACCCAUCGAUCGAGGAUUCAAGGAUGCUGAUCCUGGAUCUGGGCAUCUGGGUGCUACCCUUGACGCUGCUGCUGGCGCCGGCGCGCCGGAUGGUGCGCCUCGUCGACGGCCUGCAGCGGAUCUUCCUCGCCGUCGCCUGCCACCGGGCGCCGCCGCCCGCGCUCGGGCGGCUGUGGAGCCGCCUCGACCGCCUCGACUCCGCCACCGUCAUGCCCUGACCCUGAUCAUUCAGUGGAUAUGGAUGGAUCAGCGGGUCUACGCUCCCGAACGCGCUGUUUUUUUUUCUCCAUUGACAAAAAAAAGGGCGCUCUUUUGCUGUAAAUUUCAGCUCUUGCUGUCUGCUUAGACUCCGUUUUUUGUUUUGUUUUGUUUUCUGCUUCUCUGUGGUAAUGCGAUCCCUGUAAAUCUCUGUAACUAGAGGCUGCCAACCAUAUGAUUGAUGAACGAAAAGAAUCCCCUAUGCAUGUAUACAGUGAAAGAGGCUUGGGGUGCUCCUUUUUUUUUUCA
Long non-coding RNA from Zea mays, 796 nucleotides. RefSeq lists it as uncharacterized. NCBI's taxonomy places the organism in Eukaryota, Viridiplantae, Streptophyta, Magnoliopsida, Poales, Poaceae. The transcript is spliced from 2 exons. The record is from RefSeq and is a predicted model, not a curated record.